Long non-coding RNA from Melospiza melodia melodia, 2027 nucleotides. RefSeq lists it as uncharacterized. The transcript is spliced from 2 exons. NCBI's taxonomy places the organism in Eukaryota, Metazoa, Chordata, Aves, Passeriformes, Passerellidae. The record is from RefSeq and is a predicted model, not a curated record.
CAGCUUUCCUUCGGUGCCUCUCUUUCUCCAGAUAUGUUUUGCAACAACAGAUUGAUCCUUGCAAACAGCAUGUACUGCAUGCCAUGAAAGCUUCAUCACAGACUUUGGAAAAAAGCCUUUCACAAGAAUAAGGAAGAAACGCUUCAGCUGGUAAUCCAGCACUCUGAAUUUCUGACUGUGAAAUCUUAUCCUAAAUUUUUCAGGCAUGCUGAAACACCUUCACUCCAAAUUUGCCCUUGUGAUGUGAAGUAUCCUCAUUUCAUGUGCAGUACAUGCCUACAUCUUCAUCUACAAACAGCAAAAAUCUGCAGUUAAUAAAUAAUGCAAGAGGAGCUAUUCAAACACCAAAGAGCAAACACUAAAGAUUGUACUUCAUGUUGGCCUUAGAAAUCCUGGUAGUUCAGCUGUGGAGCCAUCCCUUACGAUGAGAUACUUUCAAAUGAGCAAUAUGGCAAAAACACAACACUGAAUAUUGAAGACUAUUCAAAAGUGGGAACUAGGAAGGACACUUGGGGUAUUAAAGGGAGCCAUAAAUAACCUUGCAAAAGGACUGUCCUAGACAGAGGAACAGAUUCUAUGAAGCCUACUCAGUCAAUGAAUAUAAACACAUAACCUCUUUUUCCCCACCUCCCUUUCCUUUUCCAGUGCUAUUGCAGAGAUUGCCACCUAGAAUAGACUUGGAGAACAAAAAAACAUUUUAAUCUAACAUCUCCUAAGUUUAGGUGAUUAGCAAAUAGCUAACCCAUUAAUGCUGGUUUUGACAAGAACGGAGGCCAAAAGUUGUGAAACCUUGCCUGGUAGAUAAAUGGUACCUUUCUCAGCCAUCUGUCUUACAAAUGAUCCCAUACAUACAGCUAUUAUUUCACUCAGACACUGGAAGCUCAGCAAUUGUUCAUGGCCUCAGUGAAGAAUAAUACCUGUCAUACAGUUUCAUUGCUCUGACUUUUAACAGACCUGUUUGCAGCUUGUCUCAAACACUGAACAAGUGCACAUGAGGAAGCACCAGAAAAGAAUAGGUAAGAUAAAAUACCAAGGACACUCACAUUUCUCUCUAUGUAUGUUUAAAACACCUCAGAACUGUCCUGAAGAAAAUUGCUGCUAAAAUUGCAAAUGGUUCUUUACUCAUUUGUGAGAAAACACUGAACAGUCUGCUGCUUUUGGCUGGUAUAAUUUUCUUCACACUAACAAGUAAGGGGCUGUGCUUUAAAUCUGUGCUGGAAAGAGUGCUGAUAAUUGAAGGAUGUUUUAGUUAUUGCUGAGCAGGCCUUGCACAUUGUCAUGGCCUUUUCUGUUUCGUCAGCCUCAAAGAGGUUGAGGCUGAACAAUGAACUGGGAGGGGACACAAGCAGGACACUGACCCCAGCUGACCAGAGGGAUAAUCCUACACUGUGCAGUUUUGUGCUCAGUAUAUAAAGCUGGGGCAAGAAGGAAGUGGGGGAAGACACACUGGGAGCGAUGGCAGUGUCUUCCCAGGUAAGGGGUACGUUUCUCCUCUUCCCUGGGACAUUCUCAGAAGUUACCUCAUCACCUCCUCUGACUUGCUUACCUGGUGAUGCAGGAGUCUCCAAUCUGUCCCUCAUCUUGCACAACCUCUCCUCAGGUUCAGGCAGACUGGCAGCAUGAACAGUGCUUACACUUCCUUAUUCCUAAAAAGCAAUAGUGUCAUGCUUUUGACGAGUCUCUCACAAUCCUCAAAAAAAUGCAAAUAAAUCUAAUAGCCUUCUCUUUUAUGUUUCCUUAUUCUAGGUUUUCUCACAGAAACAAAGAAGUGUUUCCAAAUGCUAUUUUUCAUAAAACCAGUAAAAAUUUUGGAAAGGAUUCUCAUUAAAAUCUUAAUACUUCUGACAAGUAAAUGUGUUUUCUGCAGAAGUCCUAGUUUCAGCAUCAUGCCAAAGCAAAGAAAGCUUUCAUAUGUCUAUUCUUUCUGAAACAGGAAAAAAACCCCAACUGGUUUGGCUGCAAAUCAGCAUGAUUAUUGUUAGUUGCACAUGUUGAAGACUUUGUUUUCAAUACAGUAUGAAACACUA